AUUGAACGCUGGCGGCAGGCCUAACACAUGCAAGUCGAACGGUAACAGGAAGAAGCUUGCUUCUUUGCUGACGAGUGGCGGACGGGUGAGUAAUGUCUGGGAAACUGCCUGAUGGAGGGGGAUAACUACUGGAAACGGUAGCUAAUACCGCAUAACGUCGCAAGACCAAAGAGGGGGACCUUGGGGCCUCUUGCCAUCGGAUGUGCCCAGAUGGGAUUAGCUAGUAGGUGGGGUAACGGCUCACCUAGGCGACGAUCCCUAGCUGGUCUGAGAGGAUGACCAGCCACACUGGAACUGAGACACGGUCCAGACUCCUACGGGAGGCAGCAGUGGGGAAUAUUGCACAAUGGGCGCAAGCCUGAUGCAGCCAUGCCGCGUGUAUGAAGAAGGCCUUCGGGUUGUAAAGUACUUUCAGCGGGGAGGAAGGGAGUAAAGUUAAUACCUUUGCUCAUUGACGUUACCCGCAGAAGAAGUACCGGCUAACUCCGUGCCAGCAGCCGCAGUAA
Molecule: ribosomal RNA, 506 nt
Filed under: uncultured bacterium
Lineage: Bacteria
Description: partial 16S ribosomal RNA
Rfam family: Bacterial small subunit ribosomal RNA
Source: RNAcentral